This 432-nucleotide ribosomal RNA is filed under the name uncultured bacterium. RNAcentral's name for it is "partial 16S ribosomal RNA". It matches the Rfam family "Bacterial small subunit ribosomal RNA", at positions 29 to 506 of the family's 1533-position model. The record is from RNAcentral.
AACGAACGCUGGCGGCAUGCCUAACACAUGCAAGUCGAACGAGACCUUCGGGUCUAGUGGCGCACGGGUGCGUAACGCGUGGGAACCUGCCCUUAGGUUCGGAAUAACUCCCCGAAAGGGGUGCUAAUACCGGAUAAUGUCUUCGGACCAAAGAUUUAUCGCCUUUGGAUGGGCCCGCGUUGGAUUAGCUAGUUGGUAGGGUAAAAGCCUACCAAGGCGACGAUCCAUAGCUGGUCUGAGAGGAUGAUCAGCCACACUGGGACUGAGACACGGCCCAGACUCCUACGGGAGGCCGCAGUGGGGACUAUUGGACAAUGGGCGAAAGCCUGAUCCAGCACUGCCGCGUGAGUGAUGAAGGCCUUAGGGUUGUAAAGCUCUUUUACCCGGGAUGAUAAUGACCGUACCGGGAGAAUAAGCUCCGGCUAACUCCGU